This 450-nucleotide ribosomal RNA is filed under the name uncultured bacterium. RNAcentral's name for it is "partial 16S ribosomal RNA". It matches the Rfam family "Bacterial small subunit ribosomal RNA", at positions 354 to 796 of the family's 1533-position model. The record is from RNAcentral.
GUGGGGAAUAUUGGACAAUGGGCGAAAGCCUGAUCCAGCCAUGCCGCGUGUGUGAAGAAGGUCUUCGGAUUGUAAAGCACUUUAAGUUGGGAGGAAGGGCAGUAAGUUAAUACCUUGCUGUUUUGACGUUACCGACAGAAUAAGCACCGGCUAACUUCGUGCCAGCAGCCGCGGUAAUACGAAGGGUGCAAGCGUUAAUCGGAAUUACUGGGCGUAAAGCGCGCGUAGGUGGUUUUGUAAGUUGGAGUUGAAAUCCCCGGGCUCAACCUGGGAACUGCCUCCAAAACUGCAUGACUAGAGUACGGUAGAGGGUAGUGGAAUUUCCUGUGUAGCGGUGAAAUGCGUAGAUAUAGGAAGGAACACCAGUGGCGAAGGCGACUACCUGGACUGAUACUGACACUGAGGUGCGAAAGCGUGGGGAGCAAACAGGAUUAGAUACCCCGGUAGUCC